This 709-nucleotide ribosomal RNA is filed under the name uncultured Campylobacterota bacterium. Its description in RNAcentral is "bacterial SSU rRNA". It matches the Rfam family "Bacterial small subunit ribosomal RNA", at positions 820 to 1532 of the family's 1533-position model. Lineage: Bacteria; Pseudomonadati; Campylobacterota. The record is from RNAcentral.
UUGUUGCCAUACUAGAUAUGGCAGUAAUGCAGUUAACACAUUAAGUGUACCGCCUGGGGAGUACGGUCGCAAGAUUAAAACUCAAAGGAAUAGACGGGGACCCGCACAAGCGGUGGAGCAUGUGGUUUAAUUUGACGAUACGCGAAGAACCUUACCUGGACUUGACAUAGUAAGAACUUUCUAGAGAUAGAUUGGUGUCUGCUUGCAGAAACUUAUAUACAGGUGCUGCACGGCUGUCGUCAGCUCGUGUCGUGAGAUGUUGGGUUAAGUCCCGCAACGAGCGCAACCCUCGUCGUUAGUUGCUAACAGUUCGGCUGAGAACUCUAACGAGACUGCCUGGGUAACCAGGAGGAAGGUGAGGACGACGUCAAGUCAUCAUGGCCCUUACGUCCAGGGCUACACACGUGCUACAAUGGGGUAUACAAAGAGCAGCAAUACCGCGAGGUGGAGCAAAUCUCAAAAAUGCCUCCCAGUUCGGAUAGCACCCUGCAACUCGAGUGCUUGAAGUUGGAAUCGCUAGUAAUCGUAGAUCAGCAAUGCUACGGUGAAUACGUUCCCGGGUCUUGUACUCACCGCCCGUCACACCAUGGGAGUUGAUUUCAUUCGAAGCGGGGAUGCUAAAGUAGCUACCUUCCACAGUGGAAUCAGCGACUGGGGUGAAGUCGUAACAAGGUAACCGUAGGAGAACCUGCGGCUGGAUCACCUCCUU